This is a microRNA precursor of Equus asinus (donkey), 121 nucleotides long. Lineage: Eukaryota; Metazoa; Chordata; Mammalia; Perissodactyla; Equidae. The record is from Ensembl.
CCAAUGCUGGUCGUCUCACAGUGGACAGAGUGAGAGAGUCAGCGGUUGGGGGGCAAGUCUCCAAGAGACUUGCCCUUCUUCCUCUGACCUUCCCAAUCUCCUGCCACUCCAGGGUUCUGGG